This 274-nucleotide ribosomal RNA is filed under the name uncultured bacterium. RNAcentral describes it as "partial 16S ribosomal RNA". It matches the Rfam family "Bacterial small subunit ribosomal RNA", at positions 523 to 796 of the family's 1533-position model. The record is from RNAcentral.
CUACGGAGGGUGCAAGCGUUACUCGGAAUCACUGGGCGUAAAGCGCGCGCAGGCGGCUAUUUAAGUUGGAUGUGAAAGCCUACGGCUCAACCGUAGAACUGCAUCCAAAACUAUUUAGCUAGAGUGUGGGAGAGGAAGAUGGAAUUAGUUGUGUAGGGGUAAAAUCCGUAGAGAUAACUAGGAAUACCAAAAGCGAAGGCAAUCUUCUGGAACACUACUGACGCUGAGGCGCGAAAGCGUGGGGAGCAAACAGGAUUAGAAACCCGAGUAGUCC